GACGAACGCUGGCGGCGUGCUUAACACAUGCGAGUCGAACGGAAAGGCCCUGCUUUUGUGGGGUGCUCGAGUGGCGAACGGGUGAGUAACACGUGAGUAACCUGCCCUUGACUUUGGGAUAACUUCAGGAAACUGGGGCUAAUACCGGAUAGGAGCUCCUGCUGCAUGGUGGGGGUUGGAAAGUUUCGGCGGUUGGGGAUGGACUCGCGGCUUAUCAGCUUGUUGGUGGGGUAGUGGCUUACCAAGGCUUUGACGGGUAGCCGGCCUGAGAGGGUGACCGGCCACAUUGGGACUGAGAUACGCCCAGACUCCUACGGGAGGCAGCAGUGGGGAAUAUUGCACAAUGGGCGGAAGCCUGAUGCAGCAACGCCGCGUGCGGGAUGACGGCCUUCGGGUUGUAAACCGCUUUCGCCUGUGACGAAGCGUGAGUGACGGUAAUGGGUAAAGAAGCACCGGCUAACUACGUG
This 467-nucleotide ribosomal RNA is filed under the name uncultured bacterium. RNAcentral's name for it is "partial 16S ribosomal RNA". It matches the Rfam family "Bacterial small subunit ribosomal RNA", at positions 28 to 507 of the family's 1533-position model. The record is from RNAcentral.